AACUAAGAAGUCCAAUAAAAAUUAGAAUUUUUUGUACUAACAGAAUCCCUCAAUUUUAUAAUCUAAAAAAAAUAAAAAAAAUUUUCAUGCAUCAAUAGAGAUCGAGCACAAAGAAAAACCAUCAUACAUCCUCUUUAUUUUUUAUCAAGUGAUAUGCAUUUAUCAUCUUUUCGAUGCAUAUUAUAAGCUUUUUUAAUAUAUAAAUACCUCUUAGUAACCCAAUAUAUACUUUUAAGUAAAUUGAUACAUAUUGUUUAGAUUAUGAAGUUUACUAGUACAUAGUACAUGGCUAGUCGACACACACCUAGCAAUAUAGUCAUCUAACAUCCUAAUAUAUACUUUUAGGUAAAUCAAUACACAGUUUGAAAUAUGAUGCUCAACCAUGCACACUAAAUGACCAAGUGAUACAUGCUUAUCGAUUUUCUAAUACAUACUGUAAGCUUUUCUGAUAUACAUCUAGCAGUAAUUCAAUAUAUAUCUUUAAGUAUAUUAAUUCAUAAUUUUCAGAAUAUGGUAUUCAUGAAUACACACUAUACGUUAGGUGAUACAUAUCUAGCAAAAUAGUUAUCCAAUAUUCUAACACAUACUUUUAGUU
RNAcentral lists this long non-coding RNA (595 nucleotides) under Phoenix dactylifera (date palm). RNAcentral describes it as "long non-coding RNA (PDAC_LNC018264)". Lineage: Eukaryota; Viridiplantae; Streptophyta; Magnoliopsida; Arecales; Arecaceae. The record is from RNAcentral.